AACGUAGGUGGCGAGCGUUAUCCGGAAUUACUGGGCGUAAAGCGUGUGCAGGCGGGGGGGUAAGUGGUGUAUGAAAUGUCCCGGCUCAACCGGGAGGGGUUAUGCCAGACUGCAUCUCUUGAGUGCGAGAGAGGAGCGUGGAAUUCCGGGUGUAGUGGUGAAAUGCGUAGAGAUCCGGAGGAACCCCAGAGGCGAAGGCGGCGCUCUGGCUCGCAACUGACGCUCAGACACGACAGCAUGGGGAGCGAACGGG
RNAcentral lists this ribosomal RNA (253 nucleotides) under uncultured bacterium. RNAcentral describes it as "partial 16S ribosomal RNA". It matches the Rfam family "Bacterial small subunit ribosomal RNA", at positions 524 to 776 of the family's 1533-position model. The record is from RNAcentral.